This 240-nucleotide unclassified non-coding RNA is filed under the name soil metagenome. RNAcentral describes it as "partial contains 5.8S ribosomal RNA, internal transcribed spacer 2, and large subunit ribosomal RNA". The record is from RNAcentral.
AACCAUUCUCACCUGCGGCUAGACCUGCGGAGGGAUCAUUACCGAGUGUGAACCCCCCCGUAAAAAAGAGGGGUUACCUCCCGUCCUUUGCUGGGAACCCCUUUCCAACUUGGAAGGAGGUUGUUUUCAGACCCUUCUGCUUCGGUGGGGUAACCCACCGGAACAACCUCAAAAAUAUUCUCAAUUCAAAACCGUUCAGUCCGAGAACUUUUUUGAAAAGCGAAAAAACUUUUAGCAAUG